Long non-coding RNA from Exaiptasia diaphana, 596 nucleotides. RefSeq lists it as uncharacterized. The transcript is spliced from 4 exons. NCBI's taxonomy places the organism in Eukaryota, Metazoa, Cnidaria, Anthozoa, Actiniaria, Aiptasiidae. The record is from RefSeq and is a predicted model, not a curated record.
CUUCACAGUGAGAGAGCACUUUAAUACACACUUAAGCGCUGAUAACAACGUUAUUUUGGGGGCCUCUCGAGUCGGCUAAAACACGUCUUUCUUCAAACGGUAUCUCAAUUACUCUCAAAACUAACGCAAGAGGGAGUUCUUACGCGUCACAAACAGUGUUUGCUGUGGCUAUCAGAGUCACUCGUCGUUCAUUGUCGUCAUGAAGUUCUUAUUUGCUGUGAUAUUGCUGGUUGGAGUUGUUGGUUUUACGCUUGCUACUCCUUCGCGGAAAUUCUUCCACAGACAAGAAACCACUGACAGCGACACACCAARGACAAACAAAGAUCUAGCUCACAAUCAAGAUGGGGCUGUAUCUAAGAGGCUUUUCUGCAACUGGCAGUGCACUACUAAAUGCACAGAAUCGAUGUGUUGCAACGGCUUCUUUAUAGCACAAAAAAGUUGCAAGAAAUGCAAUAGAUGUCGUAGAUACUGCACAUGCAAUCAAGAUUGGAGUUGGCCAUAGUGAAUGAAAGCACCUUCUUCGCUUUUUGAAGGACAAUAUAGGGAUUUUUUAGUUGUACAUGCAGAGAUUUCAAUAAAAACGCACCAAUUGAAAA